Molecule: ribosomal RNA, 496 nt
Filed under: uncultured Nitrospirota bacterium
Lineage: Bacteria; Pseudomonadati; Nitrospirota
Description: bacterial SSU rRNA
Rfam family: Bacterial small subunit ribosomal RNA
Source: RNAcentral
UCGCAAGAGGGAUCUAUGGUUAGUGGCGCACGGGUGAGUAACGCGUAGGUAAUCUGCCUUCAGGGCCGGAACAACCAUUGGAAACGAUGGCUAAUGCCGGAUAAGACCACGUAUAGCAAUGUAUGGGGUAAAAGGAGUAAUUCACCUGGAGAUGAGCCUGCGUCCUAUCAGGUAGUUGGUAAGGUAAUGGCUUACCAAGCCUAAGACGGGUAGCCGGUCUGAGAGGAUGAACGGCCACACUGGAACUGAGACACGGUCCAGACUCCUACGGGAGGCAGCAGUGAGGAAUUUUGCGCAAUGGGGGAAACCCUGACGCAGCGACGCCGCGUGGAGGAAGAAGGCCUUCGGGUUGUAAGCUCCUUUUGUAGGGAAAGAUGAUGACGGUACCUUACGAAUAAGCCACGGCUAACUCUGUGCCAGCAGCCGCGGUAAGACAGAGGUGGCAAGCGUUGCUCGGAAUUACUGGGCUUAAAGGGUGCGUAGGCGGUUAGAUAAG